This is a small nuclear RNA of Vulpes vulpes (red fox), 103 nucleotides long. The record is from Ensembl. NCBI's taxonomy places the organism in Eukaryota, Metazoa, Chordata, Mammalia, Carnivora, Canidae.
GUGCUUACUUCAGCAACACAUAUACUAAAACUAAAACAAUGCAGAGAUUAGCAUGGCCCCUGCACAGGAUGACACAUAAAUUUGUUCAGUGUUCUAUAUUUUG